GUGAAUUUCCCGAUGCCUUAG
Molecule: microRNA, 21 nt
Filed under: Bombyx mori (domestic silkworm)
Lineage: Eukaryota; Metazoa; Arthropoda; Insecta; Lepidoptera; Bombycidae
Description: bmo-miR-263b-3p
Gene: bmo-miR-263b-3p
Source: miRBase by way of RNAcentral